GACGAACGCUGGCGGCGUGCCUAAUACAUGCAAGUAGAACGCUGAAGAGAGGAGCUUGCUCUUCUUGGAUGAGUUGCGAACGGGUGAGUAACGCGUAGGUAACCUGCCUUGUAGCGGAGGAUAACUAUUGGAAACGAUAGCUAAUACCGCAUAACAAUGGAUGACCCAUGUCAUUUAUUUGAAAGGGGCAAAUGCUCCACUACAAGAUGGACCUGCGUUGUAUUAGCUAGUAGGUGAGGUAACGGCUCACCUAGGCGACGAUACAUAGCCGACCUGAGAGGGUGAUCGGCCACACUGGGACUGAGACACGGCCCAGACUCCUACGGGAGGCAGCAGUAGGGAAUCUUCGGCAAUGGGGGCAACCCUGACCGAGCAACGCCGCGUGAGUGAAGAAGGUUUUCGGAUCGUAAAGCUCUGUUGUAAGUCAAGAACGAGUGUGAGAGUGGAAAGUUCACACUGUGACGGUAGCUUACCAGAAAGGGACGGCUAACUACGUG
This 497-nucleotide ribosomal RNA is filed under the name uncultured bacterium. RNAcentral's name for it is "partial 16S ribosomal RNA". It matches the Rfam family "Bacterial small subunit ribosomal RNA", at positions 28 to 507 of the family's 1533-position model. The record is from RNAcentral.